Molecule: ribosomal RNA, 975 nt
Filed under: Bacillus pumilus
Lineage: Bacteria; Bacillati; Bacillota; Bacilli; Caryophanales; Bacillaceae
Description: bacterial SSU rRNA
Rfam family: Bacterial small subunit ribosomal RNA
Source: RNAcentral
GGCGGUACGUUGUCCGGACUUUUGAGGCGUAAGGGCUCGCAGGCGGUUUCUUAAGUCUGAUGUGAAAGCCCCCGGCUCAACCGGGGAGGGUCAUUGGAAACUGGGAAACUUGAGUGCAGAAGAGGAGAGUGGAAUUCCACGUGUAGCGGUGAAAUGCGUAGAGAUGUGGAGGAACACCAGUGGCGAAGGCGACUCUCUGGUCUGUAACUGACGCUGAGGAGCGAAAGCGUGGGGAGCGAACAGGAUUAGAUACCCUGGUAGUCCACGCCGUAAACGAUGAGUGCUAAGUGUUAGGGGGUUUCCGCCCCUUAGUGCUGCAGCUAACGCAUUAAGCACUCCGCCUGGGGAGUACGGUCGCAAGACUGAAACUCAAAGGAAUUGACGGGGGCCCGCACAAGCGGUGGAGCAUGUGGUUUAAUUCGAAGCAACGCGAAGAACCUUACCAGGUCUUGACAUCCUCUGACAACCCUAGAGAUAGGGCUUUCCCUUCGGGGACAGAGUGACAGGUGGUGCAUGGUUGUCGUCAGCUCGUGUCGUGAGAUGUUGGGUUAAGUCCCGCAACGAGCGCAACCCUUGAUCUUAGUUGCCAGCAUUCAGUUGGGCACUCUAAGGUGACUGCCGGUGACAAACCGGAGGAAGGUGGGGAUGACGUCAAAUCAUCAUGCCCCUUAUGACCUGGGCUACACACGUGCUACAAUGGACAGAACAAAGGGCUGCGAGACCGCAAGGUUUAGCCAAUCCCACAAAUCUGUUCUCAGUUCGGAUCGCAGUCUGCAACUCGACUGCGUGAAGCUGGAAUCGCUAGUAAUCGCGGAUCAGCAUGCCGGGGGAAAAAACCUUUCCCGGGCCCUUGUACACACCGCCCGUCACACCACGAGAGUUUGCAACACCCGAAGUCGGUGAGGUAACCUUUAUGGAGCCAGCCGCCGAAGGUGGGGCAGAUGAUUGGGUGAUAGAAGAGAAAGGGGAAAAAAA